CCUACGGGGGGCAGCAGUGAGGAAUAUUGGUCAAUGGACGAGAGUCUGAACCAGCCAAGUAGCGUGAAGGAUGACUGCCCUAUGGGUUGUAAACUUCUUUUAUAUGGGAAUAAAAUGUUCCACGUGUGGGAUUUUGUAUGUACCAUAUGAAUAAGGAUCGGCUAACUCCGUGCCAGCAGCCGCGGUAAUACGGAGGAUCCGGGCGUUAUCCGGAUUUAUUGGGUUUAAAGGGAGCGUAGGUGGAUUGUUAAGUCAGUUGUGAAAGUUUGCGGCUCAACCGUAAAAUUGCAGUUGAAACUGGCAGUCUUGAGUACAGUAGAGGUGGGCGGAAUUCGUGGUGUAGCGGUGAAAUGCUUAGAUAUCACGAAGAACUCCGAUUGCGAAGGCAGUUCACUGGACUGCAACUGACACUGAGGCUCGAAAGUGUGGGUAUCAAACAGGAUUAGAUACCCUUGUAGUC
RNAcentral lists this ribosomal RNA (460 nucleotides) under uncultured bacterium. RNAcentral's name for it is "partial 16S ribosomal RNA". It matches the Rfam family "Bacterial small subunit ribosomal RNA", at positions 338 to 795 of the family's 1533-position model. The record is from RNAcentral.